UACGUAGGGGGCAAGCGUUGUCCGGAUUUAUUGGGCGUAAAGAGCGUGUAGGCGGCCAUACAGGUCAGCUGUGAAAACUCGAGGCUCAACCUCGAGACGUCGGUUGAAACCGUAUGGCUAGAGUCCGGAAGAGGAGAGUGGAAUUCCCGGUGUAGCGGUGAAAUGCGCAGAUAUCGGGAAGAACACCCGUGGCGAAGGCGGCUCUCUGGGCCUGUACUGACGCUGAGGAGCGAAAGCGUGGGGAGCGAACAGG
RNAcentral lists this ribosomal RNA (253 nucleotides) under uncultured bacterium. Its description in RNAcentral is "partial 16S ribosomal RNA". It matches the Rfam family "Bacterial small subunit ribosomal RNA", at positions 524 to 776 of the family's 1533-position model. The record is from RNAcentral.